UUUUCGGCGUUGAUGAGGAAUAGUACUUAUCGUCAGUCUUUACAGAGAGCUGUCAUAUGGUGGAAGGCAGUAAGAAGGACCCUAACGAACUCACCUCGGAGCUUCCUGUUGAAAGCUGAUCGCAAGUAGAUAAGGACGGAGGUCCACCGUUACAGGGACAGGAUAUCGGUAGAGUUACCUGUAUCCGGUAAGAGCAUCCUAUGAAGGAUGAAUUAGAGUGGUACCGCGAACGCCCCUUCGUCUCUAAC
RNAcentral lists this non-coding RNA (248 nucleotides) under Oscillospiraceae bacterium. RNAcentral describes it as "Ruminococcaceae bacterium T-box sequence". It matches the Rfam family "T-box leader". Rfam says of the family: Uncharged tRNA acts as the effector for transcription antitermination of genes in the T-box leader family. Lineage: Bacteria; Bacillati; Bacillota; Clostridia; Eubacteriales; Oscillospiraceae. The record is from RNAcentral.